CUGACUACUUUAGCUUGCUAGAGUAGAAGGAGUUGCGAACGGGUGAGUAACGCGUAGGUAACCUGCCUACUAGCGGGGGAUAACUAUUGGAAACGAUAGCUAAUACCGCAUAACAGUGUUUAACACAUGUUAGAUGCUUGAAAGAUGCAAUUGCAUCACUAGUAGAUGGACCUGCGUUGUAUUAGCUAGUUGGUGGGGUAACGGCCCACCAAGGCGACGAUACAUAGCCGACCUGAGAGGGUGAUCGGCCACACUGGGACUGAGACACGGCCCAGACUCCUACGGGAGGCAGCAGUAGGGAAUCUUCGGCAAUGGGGGCAACCCUGACCGAGCAACGCCGCGUGAGUGAAGAAGGUUUUCGGAUCGUAAAGCUCUGUUGUAAGAGAAGAACGUGUGUGAGAGUG
RNAcentral lists this ribosomal RNA (404 nucleotides) under Streptococcus equinus. Its description in RNAcentral is "bacterial SSU rRNA". It matches the Rfam family "Bacterial small subunit ribosomal RNA", at positions 67 to 463 of the family's 1533-position model. Lineage: Bacteria; Bacillati; Bacillota; Bacilli; Lactobacillales; Streptococcaceae. The record is from RNAcentral.